GCAAGGUGAAGGUGUUUAAACUGUUUAAGCUGUUGGACAAGUGGCACGAAGACACAAUUGGCAACAAUGGGAAAUUUCUACAGCUAUGUCUACAGCUAUUUCUAUGGCGAGGUAAGUUAUUUUUAGUUACGGAAGAAGAUUUAUUUAGUACAACGUAAUAAUAAUUUUAAUCUUUUACAUCAUGACUACCAUGCACUCUAAAAAACAGAGGUACGAUAUGAGUACUUUUUUGUACUCGAAGGUACACUCUUUAUAAUUGUACCCUCAAAGGUAUAAUAUUGGUCUUUACGGGGUCAGAUUUGUUCCCUCUGAAGUACAAAGUCAUUUCUAACAGCAAUAAGUACAAAUUUGUACCAUUUAACCAGCCAAAGGGUACAUUCAGUAUUCUGUAUCACUGUACUAAUGAACAAUAUAUAUUUAAAUUGCACAUUUUUUAUUUGAAAGCCAGACAAUUUUGUAUCAUCAAGUUUUUGAGCCAUAUUUAGUUGAUGAUAAUGUUUAUAAUCUUUAUGAUCUUUACUGCCACAAAAAACAUGGGUACAAAAAAGGACUUUCACUGAAAGGUACUUUUUUGUGCCUCAAUAUAAGGUACAGCCCCAGCGACAAGCUUUGUACUCUUUUAAGUACAAAUCUGUACUUAUAUUUCUUAGAGUGUGAGUAAAUCUAGGUCUAGGUGUAUUUGCUGAGGGAUGAAGAUAUUGGUUAAAUGAAGGAAACUGUUUAAUUCCCCAUAAUGAACAGCAUAAAUGCCUGACGUGUGUCUAUGCUCUUCAGCAAAGUCAAUCAACAGAAGUGACAAAUUUGCAGGAGCAGCCUGCAGAGAGUCCAUCCGAAAACUUAUCUGCAAGUUCUGCAAAUGGGUGCAUUCAGAGUGAAAACAUCUCUGCAGACACACCCUUCUUUCAUAACCACAUUGACGAUGUGGACAAGAGGAACAUUUUUGUGGUCAGUGGUGGAAAAUCUGAAGAAUUUACUGUAUUCCCUGCAGAGAAGAUCUCAGUCUUACUUGAGGAGGCAUGCGCCUGGGCCGGAAAAAAGCCAGAGAAAAUGAAUCUGUUUUUUAAAGGUAAACAAAUAAAAUAUAAGGACCUUUACAUAUCAAUAAAUUCACCAGUUAAGCAGUGCACUACUGUCUAAUGUUAAAUAUUGUCCCUGUUGAACAAAAGAUGUAUCUUCAAAAUGGCAACUAAUGCUAAGAUUGUUUUUGGAACUGAGCCUGGAGGAAGGAAAAAAAUAUCUAGAUUUUAAAAUUGAAGUCAUUGUAAUUUUAGAGCAUUUCUAUUGGAUUGUUUACAUGAAGUUUGACAUGAUAUAGAUUCACAUUUUGUUUAAAAAAAAAAAUAGAUGUUAAGCACAGAUAAACUAUCAUGCAAAAAUCCUGAUACAGUCUGAUACACUUUUGUUAUAAUUAUAUUAUAACAUUUAUUGUUGUUUACCUGCAGGGGAACAGCUGGAUGUGAUGAAAGCCGUGGGUGAGUGUCCCGGCCUACGAAGAGGAAGCAAAGUGCACCUAAUUUUUGCUUCCUAAAGAACUUCACACUUUGUUUUUUUAAUGUACUGAAGUAAAGUGAAGUGCUCUUCAUAGUGGGACAGAAUGCACAGGAGCCUCUCACCCGUGCAAGUCAGCCUUCAGACUCAAUAAUAAGCCCAGUAUGGUGCACAUGUGUACAUUACGCAAUGCUGCUUGUGCUUUAUGUGCUGUCUGUAUUAAAUACCUCUGCUGAUUGGCAGUUGGCAGUUAGAAAUAGAGAAUAUAGGUGAAGUAAUAGAGAGUGAAGGGCAGCACAUAGCAAAUCUCUUAUAAUUAUAAUUUUUAAUUUAGUGAUCAAUCAGAUAUCUGGUUUUCUAGCUAGGUGGGAGUACAUUGUUGACUGACAGGUGGGCAGGAGGCAGUAAAGCUGCUGCGCUCCACUUUAGAGCUCUCAGGGCUUUGGCCUGCACUUGGAUAGCUACUCACUGUCCACUGUCCUUUCUCUCUGUGCUAGCUUCGAUGGGAUCUCUUGAAAUGAGAACUGAGAAAUGUUAUUGUCAUAGUUGUAUGUACAUUACAUUUUAAAUAAUGUUUUAUAAUAAACUUG
Molecule: long non-coding RNA, 2078 nt
Filed under: Astyanax mexicanus (Mexican tetra)
Lineage: Eukaryota; Metazoa; Chordata; Actinopteri; Characiformes; Acestrorhamphidae
Description: lncRNA (ENSAMXG00005007268.1)
Source: RNAcentral